This 30-nucleotide non-coding RNA is filed under the name Homo sapiens (human). The record is from RNAcentral. Lineage: Eukaryota; Metazoa; Chordata; Mammalia; Primates; Hominidae.
UAUACCAUUCCUCCUGUGAACAGUGCAGAA